CCUACGGGUGGCAGCAGUCGAGAAUUUUUCACAAUGGGCGAAAGCCUGAUGGAGCGACGCCGCGUGGGGGAUGAAUGGCUUCGGCCCGUAAACCCCUGUCAUUUGCGAAUAAACUCUGGGAUUUAAAAGAUCUCGGAUUGAAAGUAGCAGAAGAGGAAGGGACGGCUAACUCUGUGCCAGCAGCCGCGGUAAUACAGAGGUCCCAAGCGUUGUUCGGAUUUACUGGGCGUAAAGGGUGCGUAGGUGGUGGGGUAAGUUCAGGGUGAAAUCUUCGGGCUCAACCCGAAAAUUGCCCAGAAAACUAUCCUGCUAGAGGAUCAGAGGGGAGACUGGAAUUCUCGGUGUAGCAGUGAAAUGCGUAGAUAUCGAGAGGAACACCUGUGGCGAAGGCGAGUCUCUGGAUGAUUCCUGACACUGAGGCACGAAAGCCAGGGGAGCAAACGGGAUUAGAUACCCCAGUAGUC
Molecule: ribosomal RNA, 464 nt
Filed under: uncultured bacterium
Lineage: Bacteria
Description: bacterial SSU rRNA
Rfam family: Bacterial small subunit ribosomal RNA
Source: RNAcentral